Molecule: transfer RNA, 62 nt
Filed under: Sclerolinum brattstromi
Lineage: Eukaryota; Metazoa; Annelida; Polychaeta; Sabellida; Siboglinidae
Description: tRNA-Asn
Source: RNAcentral
UAAGCAGAAGCCACCUUUGGCAUCUAACUGUUAAUUAGAAGCUCGUUAACCAACCUGCUUAG